Molecule: ribosomal RNA, 441 nt
Filed under: uncultured bacterium
Lineage: Bacteria
Description: partial 16S ribosomal RNA
Rfam family: Bacterial small subunit ribosomal RNA
Source: RNAcentral
CCUACGGGUGGCAGCAGUGGGGAAUCUUGCACAAUGUGGGACACCCUGCUGCAGCGACGCCGCGUGCGUGCAGACGUCUUUCGGUAUGUAAAGCUCUAUCAUCAGGAACGAGACAAGACGGUACCUGACUAAGAAGCCCCAGCUAACUACGUGCCAGCAGCCGCGGUACUACGUAGGGGGCAAGCGUUAUCCGGACUCACUUGGUGUAAAGGGAGCGUAGACGGCUGUGCAAGCCUGAAGUGAAAGGCGGGGGCCCACACCCUGGACUGCUUUGGGAACUGUACGGCUGGAGUGCAGGAGAGGUAAGUGGAAUUCCUGGUGUAGCGGUGAAAUGCGUAGAUAUUAGGAGGAACACCAGUGGCGAAGGCGGCUUACUGGACUGUAACUGACGUUGAGGCUCGAAAGCGUGGGGAGCAAACAGGAUUAGAUACCCCUGUAGUC